Molecule: ribosomal RNA, 35 nt
Filed under: Sanghuangporus johnsonianus
Lineage: Eukaryota; Fungi; Basidiomycota; Agaricomycetes; Hymenochaetales; Hymenochaetaceae
Description: partial 25S ribosomal RNA
Source: RNAcentral
GUAGGAUUACCCGCCGAACUUAAGCAUAUCAAUAA